CAUGCAAGUCGAGGGGAAACGACAUCGAAAGCUUGCUUUUGAUGGGCGUCGACCGGCGCACGGGUGAGUAACGCGUAUCCAACCUGCCCACCACUUGGGGAUAACCUUGCGAAAGUAAGACUAAUACCCAAUGACGUCUCUAGAAGACAUCUGAAAGAGAUUAAAGAUUUAUCGGUGAUGGAUGGGGAUGCGUCUGAUUAGCUUGUUGGCGGGGUAACGGCCCACCAAGGCGACGAUCAGUAGGGGUUCUGAGAGGAAGGUCCCCCACAUUGGAACUGAGACACGGUCCAAACUCCUACGGGAGGCAGCAGUGAGGAAUAUUGGUCAAUGGACGAGAGUCUGAACCAGCCAAGUAGCGUGCAGGAAGACGGCCCUAUGGGUUGUAAACUGCUUUUAUAAGGGAAUAAAGUGAGAGUCGUGACUCUUUUUGCAUGUACCUUAUGAAUAAGGACCGGCUAAUUCCGUGCCAGCAGCCGCGGUAAUACGGAAGGUCCGGGCGUUAUCCGGAUUUAUUGGGUUUAAAGGGAGCGUAGGCCGGAGAUUAAGCGUGUUGUGAAAUGUAGACGCUCAACGUCUGCACUGCAGCGCGAACUGGUUUCCUUGAGUACGCACAAAGUGGGCGGAAUUCGUGGUGUAGCGGUGAAAUGCUUAGAUAUCACGAAGAACUCCGAUUGCGAAGGCAGCUCACUGGAGCGCAACUGACGCUGAAGCUCGAAAGUGCGGGUAUCGAACAGGAUUAGAUACCCUGGUAGUCCGCACGGUAAACGAUGGAUG
RNAcentral lists this ribosomal RNA (774 nucleotides) under uncultured bacterium. RNAcentral's name for it is "bacterial SSU rRNA". It matches the Rfam family "Bacterial small subunit ribosomal RNA", at positions 54 to 815 of the family's 1533-position model. The record is from RNAcentral.